GACGAACGCUGGCGGCGUGCCUAAUACAUGCAAGUAGAACGCACAGUUUAUACCGUAGCUUGCUACACCAUAGACUGUGAGUUGCGAACGGGUGAGUAACGCGUAGGUAACCUGCCUGGUAGCGGGGGAUAACUAUUGGAAACGAUAGCUAAUACCGCAUAAUAUUAAUUAUUGCAUGAUAAUUAAUUGAAAGGUGCAAUUGCACCACUACCAGAUGGACCUGCGUUGUAUUAGCUAGUAGGUGAGGUAACGGCUCACCUAGGCGACGAUACAUAGCCGACCUGAGAGGGUGAUCGGCCACACUGGGACUGAGACACGGCCCAGACUCCUACGGGAGGCAGCAGUAGGGAAUCUUCGGCAAUGGACGAAAGUCUGACCGAGCAACGCCGCGUGAGCGAAGAAGGUUUUCGGAUCGUAAAGCUCUGUUGUAAGAGAAGAACGGGUGUGAGAGUGGAAAGUUCACACUGUGACGGUAGCUUACCAGAAAGGGACGGCUAACUACGUA
This 505-nucleotide ribosomal RNA is filed under the name uncultured bacterium. RNAcentral describes it as "partial 16S ribosomal RNA". It matches the Rfam family "Bacterial small subunit ribosomal RNA", at positions 28 to 507 of the family's 1533-position model. The record is from RNAcentral.